AGGCUCGCGGCGCAGCUUUGAUUCUCGGUAGUCAAUGGACACGUUGCAACCGCGAUUUUGACGGGGCCCCAGUUUUGAACGUCGCGUCGGCUGAACGUGGUUUUCUCGGCACAAAUCGACUUCAAAUAUAUUGGUCGGCAGGUGCCUCGAGUUGGUGAGUAACACGUCCAACAGAGUUUUUUGACCGUCUACUGACAAAAGGAUGGAGCGACGGAACUUUGUGAGGAUUUUUCUUUGCCGUUUGGUCACUUGUACGAAUUGUUCCUAUACUGAUCUGUAGUCGGACACGGAAACGAUAUUUUGAAGUAGGUCUUAUAAUGAAACGUGGUCGUGGAGAGAAGAAAUUUGAGGUUCGCGUGUACAGAUACCGCGAGAGCUGCCACAUAGAACCACGCCCCUUUCUGUUGUGCGACCCGGAUUAGAAUCCUCGCUGCGAUCGGCAGUAGGUAACUCCUACCUGUUCUGUUGGUUAGUCUAGUCUACAAGAUUGAAGUCCGGACUAUCGAAAGGAUCAUGUCUGGGUAAAACCUGUAGAACAAAACCACAACACAUCCACAUCGUCACCUCUGGUGGGGACCGCAACAAUUACCGAAGCUAUAGCUUCUUC
Long non-coding RNA from Corticium candelabrum, 607 nucleotides. RefSeq lists it as uncharacterized. The transcript is spliced from 3 exons. NCBI's taxonomy places the organism in Eukaryota, Metazoa, Porifera, Homoscleromorpha, Homosclerophorida, Plakinidae. The record is from RefSeq and is a predicted model, not a curated record.